AGGUUGGUUAUUUCCUGGGCUACAUACC
This 28-nucleotide non-coding RNA is filed under the name Homo sapiens (human). The record is from RNAcentral. Lineage: Eukaryota; Metazoa; Chordata; Mammalia; Primates; Hominidae.